UACGGAGGGUGCGAGCGUUAAUCGGAAUUACUGGGCGUAAAGGGCGCGUAGGUGGCCGCAUGAGUCGGAUGUGAAAGCCCCGGGCUUAACUUGGGAAUUGCAUUCGAUACUGUGUGGCUAGAGUGUGGCAGAGGAAAGCGGAAUUCCCGGUGUAGCGGUGAAAUGCGUAGAUAUCGGGAGGAACAUCAGUGGCGAAGGCGGCUUUCUGGCCUUAGUCUGACGCUCAGGUGCGAAAGCGUGGGGAGCGAACGGG
RNAcentral lists this ribosomal RNA (253 nucleotides) under uncultured bacterium. Its description in RNAcentral is "partial 16S ribosomal RNA". It matches the Rfam family "Bacterial small subunit ribosomal RNA", at positions 524 to 776 of the family's 1533-position model. The record is from RNAcentral.